Molecule: ribosomal RNA, 664 nt
Filed under: Escherichia coli
Lineage: Bacteria; Pseudomonadati; Pseudomonadota; Gammaproteobacteria; Enterobacterales; Enterobacteriaceae
Description: bacterial SSU rRNA
Rfam family: Bacterial small subunit ribosomal RNA
Source: RNAcentral
CCGGCAAGGGCCGGCAGGCCUACACAUGCAGUCGAACGGUAACAGGAAGCAGCUUGCUGUUUCGCUGACGAGUGGCGGACGGGUGAGUAAUGUCUGGGAAACUGCCUGAUGGAGGGGGAUAACUACUGGAAACGGUAGCUAAUACCGCAUAACGUCGCAAGACCAAAGAGGGGGACCUUCGGGCCUCUUGCCAUCGGAUGUGCCCAGAUGGGAUUAGCUUGUAGGUGGGGUAACGGCUCACCUAGGCGACGAUCCCUAGCUGGUCUGAGAGGAUGACCAGCCACACUGGAACUGAGACACGGUCCAGACUCCUACGGGAGGCAGCAGUGGGGAAUAUUGCACAAUGGGCGCAAGCCUGAUGCAGCCAUGCCGCGUGUAUGAAGAAGGCCUUCGGGUUGUAAAGUACUUUCAGCGGGGAGGAAGGGAGUAAAGUUAAUACCUUUGCUCAUUGACGUUACCCGCAGAAGAAGCACCGGCUAACUCCGUGCCAGCAGCCGCGGUAAUACGGAGGGUGCAAGCGUUAAUCGGAAUUACUGGGCGUAAAGCGCACGCAGGCGGUUUGUUAAGUCAGAUGUGAAAUCCCCGGGCUCAACCUGGGAACUGCAUCUGAUACUGGCAAGCUUGAGUCUCGUAGAGGGGGGUAGAACUCCAUGGGUUAGCGGUG